CAUACGGGUGGCAGCAGUAGGGAAUUUUCGUCCAUGGGCGCAAGCCUGAACGAGCAAUGCCGCGUGAAGGAGGAAGGUCUUCGGAUCGUAAAGUUCUGUUGCAGGGGAACAGGAGCGGAGAGCGGACAUGCUUUCUGAUUGAUAUUACGCUUCGAGGCAGUCACGGCUAACUACGUGACACCAGCCGAGGGAAUACGUAGGUGUCGAGGGUUAUACGGAAUGAUUUGUCUGAAAGGGUGCGUAGGAGGCCUGCUAAGUCUGGAGUGAAAGGUACCGGCUCAACCGGUACAUGCACGGGAAACGGGCGGGCUAGAGAGCAAGAGAGGGCGGUGGAACUCCAUGUGGAGCGGUAAAAUGCGUAGAUAUAUGGAAGAACAUCAGUGUCGAAGGCGGCCGCCUGGCCUGUUAACUGACGCUGAGGCACGAAAGCGUGGGGAGCAAAUAGGAGUAGAUACCCGGGUAGUC
RNAcentral lists this ribosomal RNA (465 nucleotides) under uncultured bacterium. Its description in RNAcentral is "partial 16S ribosomal RNA". It matches the Rfam family "Bacterial small subunit ribosomal RNA", at positions 338 to 795 of the family's 1533-position model. The record is from RNAcentral.